RNAcentral lists this ribosomal RNA (492 nucleotides) under uncultured bacterium. RNAcentral's name for it is "partial 16S ribosomal RNA". It matches the Rfam family "Bacterial small subunit ribosomal RNA", at positions 29 to 507 of the family's 1533-position model. The record is from RNAcentral.
AGUGAACGCUGGCGGUAGGCCUAACACAUGCAAGUCGAACGGCAGCACAGUAAGAGCUUGCUCUUACGGGUUGCGAGUGGCGGACGGGUGAGGAGUACAUCGGAAUCUACUUUUUCGUGGGGGAUAACGUAGGGAAACUUACGCUAAUACCGCAUACGACCUACGGGUGAAAGCAGGGGAUCUUCGGACCUUGCGCGAUUGAAUGAGCCGAUGUCGGAUUAGCUAGUUGGCGGGGUAAAGGCCCACCAAGGCGACGAUCCGUAGCUGGACUGAGAGGAUGAUCAGCCACACUGGAAGUGAGACAGGGUCCAGAGUCCUACGGGAGGCAGCAGUGGGGAAUAUCGGACAAUGGGCGGAAGCAUGAUCCAGCCAUACCGAGUGGGUGAAGAAGGCGUUCGGGUUGUAAAGCCCUUUUGUUGGGAAAGAAAAGCAGCAGGUUAAUACCCCGCUGUUCUGACGGUACCCAAAGAAUAAGCACCGGCUAACUUCGUG